Molecule: long non-coding RNA, 780 nt
Organism: Calypte anna (Anna's hummingbird)
Lineage: Eukaryota; Metazoa; Chordata; Aves; Apodiformes; Trochilidae
Exons: 2
Source: RefSeq, a predicted model, not a curated record
CGCCGCGCGCGCGUCUCCGCCACGCACCCGCAGCACCCAACACCCACCCACCCCCCCCGCCGCCAUCUUAGUCAUGGAAUCAAAGCAUAGUCUGGGUUGGGAAGGACCUUUAAAGUUCCAACCCACCAGCUGGGGUUGCUCCAAGCUCCAUCCAACCUGGCCUUGAACACUUCAGGGACUUCAGCCACAGCUUCCCUAGUCAGUGUCUCACCACCCCCACAGGAAAGAAUUUCUUCCUAAUACCUAAAUCAGUUUGAAACCAUUGCCUCUCAUCACCAUGCCCCUGUAAAAAAUCCCUACUCAGCUUUCACAAAACACUUUGAGGUACUGGAACGUGCUCCAAGAGCCUUUUCUGGGCUGAACAACCUUGUGGCUUCCUCUGGACUCCUCCAACACUCAACAAAAGUGUUUUGCGGGUGCACAGUAAUUAACCAAAAGGUCCUGAAGUAUGAAGAAACCAUGCUGAAAGCUUAUUUUCAUGGAUGGACAUGAGACUCUCAUGGCUCCUCUACCCCUAACUACCACCAUUAAUGGCACAGCCCUUCUGUGCCUCUGGCAUCCACCCCCUUCUCCACCUGGAGAGCUGUGUGUGACAAUGGGUCCAGAGCAAAAUGAAGCCAAAGUGUUAUUUUUGUUAAAACUUCCCAAGCCAAAUGCCAUAGCAGCUUUAGCUGUUUGACCAAACUCAUCCUGAACACCAUUCUGUGGAGCUGCAGGUGGAUGGGGCCCAGCUGGUGCCACACACAGAUCACUUGCUUUAAACACCAGAGAAACAGAAAA